CUGUAAGCCUGUGAAGGUGUACUGUGAGGUAUGCUGGAGGUAUCAGAAGUGCGAAUGCUGACAUAAGUAACGAUAAAGCGGGUGAAAAGCCCGCUCGCCGGAAGACCAAGGGUUCCUGUCCAACGUUAAUCGGGGCAGGGUGAGUCGACCCCUAAGGCGAGGCCGAAAGGCGUAGUCGAUGGGAAACAGGUUAAUAUUCCUGUACUUGGUGUUACUGCGAAGGGGGGACGGAGAAGGCUAUGUUGGCCGGGCGACGGUUGUCCCGGUUUAAGCGUGUAGGCUGGUUUUCCAGGCAAAUCCGGAAAAUCAAGGCUGAGGCGUGAUGACGAGGCACUACGGUGCUGAAGCAACAAAUGCCCUGCUUCCAGGAAAAGCCUCUAAGCAUCAGGUAACAUCAAAUCGUACCCCAAACCGACACAGGUGGUCAGGUAGAGAAUACCAAGGCGCUUGAGAGAACUCGGGUGAAGGAACUAGGCAAAAUGGUGCCGUAACUUCGGGAGAAGGCACGCUGAUAUGUAGGUGAAGCGACUUGCUCGUGGAGCUGAAAUCAGUCGAAGAUACCAGCUGGCUGCAACUGUUUAUUAAAAACACAGCACUGUGCAAACACGAAAGUGGACGUAUACGGUGUGACGCCUGCCCGGUGCCGGAA
Molecule: ribosomal RNA, 649 nt
Filed under: Escherichia coli
Lineage: Bacteria; Pseudomonadati; Pseudomonadota; Gammaproteobacteria; Enterobacterales; Enterobacteriaceae
Description: partial 23S ribosomal RNA
Rfam family: Bacterial large subunit ribosomal RNA
Source: RNAcentral